This 529-nucleotide ribosomal RNA is filed under the name uncultured bacterium. RNAcentral's name for it is "bacterial SSU rRNA". It matches the Rfam family "Bacterial small subunit ribosomal RNA", at positions 202 to 719 of the family's 1533-position model. The record is from RNAcentral.
AGGGGACCUUCGGGCCUUUCGCUAACAGAUGAGCCUGCGUUGGAUUAGCUAGUUGGUGGGGUAAGGGCCCACCAAGGCGACGAUCCAUAGCUGGUCUGAGAGGACGAUCAGCCACACUGGGACUGAGACACGGCCCAGACUCCUACGGGAGGCAGCAGUGGGGAAUAUUGGACAAUGGGCGCAAGCCUGAUCCAGCAAUACCGCGUGUGUGAAGAAGGCCCUAGGGUUGUAAAGCACUUUCAAUUGGGGGGAAAACCCACCGACCAAUACCCGGUGGCUUGACAUUACCUUUAGAAGAAGCACCGGCUAACUCCGUGCCAGCAGCCGCGGUAAUACGGAGGGUGCGAGCGUUAAUCGGAAUUACUGGGCGUAAAGCGUGCGUAGGCGGCCCGUUAAGUCAGAUGUGAAAGCCCCGGGCUCAACCUGGGAACUGCAUUUGAAACUGGCGGGCUAGAGUUUGGUAGAGGGGAGCGGAAUUUCAGGUGUAGCGGUGAAAUGCGUAGAUAUCUGAAGGAACACCAGUGGCGAA